UUUUUUGACACCAGAGCAUGGUCUAGCUUGUCGAAUGUUCCAUGAGAACUUGAGAAGAAGGCAUGCGCUGCUAUUGUUGGAUUCAGAAUCUACAAAUGUCAAUUAGAACCUGUUGAUUGACAGGUUGUUCAGCUCAACUGCAUCCUUACUGACUUUUCUGCCUUCCCGGAUCUGUCAGACUCAAAAGGAGGCGUCAAAGUCUCCAACUUCCAAUUAUUCAAUAAUAUUCUUAUCCAAAUAAUCAUGGAUUUGUCCAUCUCCCCUUAAGGUCUAUCCGGUUUUGCUUCACGUUAUUUAGACUCUCCUCUUUUAGUCAGCUAUUUUGCUGCUGUGACAAAAAGACCCCGCAAGAACAAUUUUAAGGAGGAGAAGUUUAUUUGAGGGCUCAAGGUUUCAGAGGUCGCCAUCCCCAGUCAGCAGGCUCCAUUCCUGGGGCUCCAGGUGAAGCCGAACAUGACGGUGGAAGAGGGUGGCAGAGGGAAGCAGCUCACAGGAUGAUCAGGGAGCAGAGAGAGUCCACACCCCAGAUGCAGAUAUAGACCCCAAAGCCACGCCCCCAAUGCCCACUCCUCCAGCCACACCCUACCCACCAUCAGGGGAUUAACGCGCUGAUUGGGUUAAGCCUCUUAUAACCCAAUCUCUCCACCUCUGAAUGUUCUUGCAUUGUCUGUCACAUGAGCUUUUAGGGGACCCUUCACACCUAAACCAUGACACUCUCUGAUUUUUUAGCUACAUCUACAUUGAAGACUUUUAUUGGAGAAGCAUUUGAUUACUCUUAGUUUGGUAUAUCCCUCCUGGCACUUUUAAUCCAACUGUGCCUUUAUAUUUACCCUUAGUUUCUUAUUAACAUUUAGUUGGGUCUUUUUUUUUUUUUAAAUCCACUCUAGCAGUCUCUGACUUUUACUUGGUGUAUUUAGACCAUUUACAUUUAAAGUGAUUAUUGACAUAACUGAGCUAAUAUCUACUAUGUUGGAAAUUGUUUUCUAUUCAUUUCAUUUUUUUUGUUCUGUUUUUGAAAAACAAUCUUCUCUUUUUCUGCCCCUUCUAGUUUUAAUUGAACAUUUGACGUGAUUCAGUGUGCUCUCAACAUUUCAGUUUCAGUUUACACAAUUCUUGCUCUCUGGUCAUUCUCAGCAUGGCAUUACAGAAAGGCAAGAAGUCUAAGAGAUCAUUUUGAAAUUUUAAUUUGGACCUGAGUCAUCCAGGAGAAUUUUUUUUUUUUUCAGAGCUAGGGAUUGAACUCAGGGCCCGGCACAUGCUAGGCAAGUACUUUGCUAAAUCCUCAGCCCUAAAAAUGGAAUUUUUGAUCCUGGAAAUUUGGGUACCUUCCCUAGUGAAUAGUCAAGGUUUUAUUUCCUAGUUUUGCAUUUUCCUAUUUUAAAAUAGAUUCCUAUUUAAAACUCAUAUGGGAGAAGUUUGAAGGCAAUAGAACCCCUGGAAAUCUCAGGACUGUUAUUCACGUUGAAUGCUCCUAGAUUAAAAUCACAGCUGUUUCUGAGAAACAGUUCUCUUAAAGAGGUCUGAAAUAUCUUAUCAAGAAACACUUUAAGAAGCUGGAGUUGUGGCUUGGGGCUGGGGUUGUGGCUCAGUGUACAGCACUUGCUUAGCACGUGUGAGGAGCUGGGUUCAAUCCUCAGCACAACAUAAAAAUAAAAUAAAGACAUCUACAACUGUCUAUCUACAACUAAAGAACAUUUUAAAACUCAAAGAAAUACUUUAAGAAGCAUAAUCCUCAUGAUUGGCUUCAUAUGACUAUAUCAGAUAAGGAGAUUUAUGAAUUUCGUCACUUCCUCCUUAGUCAAGGUGAAGAAGGCUCAGUGUCUGAGGACCGGGUAAAGUCUCUUGCUCUAGGGUUUUGCUUUUGAAUACAACAAAUGAAGUAUACGUGAGAAAGAAACAUCUAAGAUGGAUUUUUAGUUUAUCAGUGGAUAAAACACAUAGUACUGACAAUUUUCAGUGGUUGUUGUAGAGUUUGCGAUAUUUGUUAACAACCUCGUCUGAAACCAUUUUUCAAAUAACACUAUCAGGUCACAGAGUGUACAAGAGCCUUAUAACCAACUAGUUCCCAUUCCUCCUUCCCAUCCCUAUCCCAUUCAUUUUAUUCCAUUCAUUUCAUUUAUCCAUCUGCUGUAACUGCCCAAUGUAUUGCUGUUAUUAUUAUUAUUUUGAAUUAAGAGUGAUUAGAUCAAUUAAUUUUUUUAGAAUUUUUUAUUCCACAUUAUUUCAUUGGUUCUCAGAUCUUGCUCUUAUGUAGACAGAAGUUUCUGACCCAGGUCCUUUUCCGUCUCUCUAAAGCAUUUCUUAGAAGGCGGACCUGUUGGCAACAAAUUCCCUUUGUUUUUAUUUGUCUGGGAAAAUCUUUAUUUGUUCUUCACCUUUGAAGGACAAUUUUGCUGGAUAUAAAAUUUUAAGUUGGUGGGGUUUCUUUCAACACUUGAAAUAAUUCGCUCCUGGGGCUUAAACAUGGAUGUGCACCUGAGGAACUUCCGGAUCCGGGGGCCUGAACAUGGACGCCUGAAAUGCUUCUGGAUCCAGGGUCUUAAACCUGGACGUGCACCUGAGGAAUUUCCAGUUGCUAUGGCCUAAACAUGGACGCCUGAGGAACUUCCGGAUCUGAGGGCCCAAAGAUGAACGUGUACCUGAGGAACUUUGGAUCCGGGGGGCCUAAACAUGGACCCCUGAGGAACUUCGGAAUCCUAGAGUCUCAACAUGGAUGCGCACCAAAGGAACUUCCGGAUCCUAGAGCCUAAACAUGGACGGGCAUCUGAGGAACUUCCGGAUCCGGGGGCCUAAACAUGGAUGUGUGCCUGAGGAACUUCCGGAUCCGGGGGCUUAAACAUGGAUGUGUCCCUGGAACUUCUGGGUCCUUGUGCCUGUAAAGGGAGGGCGUGACUCUUACAAGGGAUGUGGCCCAUGAAGGGGAGCCGAGUAUGGGGCCUGUUGGGGGGCAGACUGAGCUGUCACACCCUGAACUUGAAUGUGACAGUGGCCUCACUUCCCGACCGUCCCCUGGGUGUCACUUCGUCCCCUUCCAGGUGGUGCCGGGGAGGAAGUGAGACCAGGCACAGGGACACCAUCUUUCUCCUCGCUUAGCCAGGCGCCCGGCCUGGCUGGGGACGGGGACGUCUUGUGACACUGGCUGCCUCCUGCAUCCCUGCCCCAGGACCUCAGGGACCACAAGCGGGGACAGUCAUUGACAUGAUUCUCCCCUGGCUGCUGACCCUUAACCCCCCGGGGUCUGCCCAGGGAGAGCUCUGUCUCCCAGAGGGUCAGGGGGCCCCUGUGACCUCCUUGCUCCUUACCCACCGUCAUCCUGGGCGAGCAAAGGUCAGGACACCAGACGCUACUGAGAGUGACAUCUCCUGGAUGGGCGGCUGGGGACUUUGCCUCUGUCCCCAGGCCUCGGACACCGCAUGAUCCCCCUCCACUUCCCCAGAGACAGAAAAUAACCCCACACUGCCCAAGACUUAUUUUUAAGCUUUGGAUUCUGAAAUUUUCCUGCCGCCACCUUCUUUGUGAAGCCAGUUUUCCAACAGAGACAAUAUUCCAGGGGAGAAAAAAAUAAAAAACCAACAUGGAGUCAAUCAAACCAAGCUGACACAUCUGGUCCUCCCAGAGAAAUCUGGAUUGAGGGGAGAACAGCCAUUCUCAACUGGCAAAAUAGUGAAGUUCCCUUGUCCUUAUUUUGUGUAAGCAAAACAAAUAAUCUGAUGUUGACUCAUCAAAUUAUUUUUGCUGAAUGCUUGGCUCAUAGGAAAACUGAUUCUGUUUUAUGGAAUGAAGUGUUACCUGAUUUUAAAAUGUAAAAUGAAGCCAAUUAGGAUUGUUAAAUUCCACUGUCAUAAUUCUGUUCUUUGAUAGCAGAAAUAAAUAAACCUUAAAAAAAA
This 3887-nucleotide long non-coding RNA is filed under the name Marmota monax (woodchuck). The record is from RNAcentral. Lineage: Eukaryota; Metazoa; Chordata; Mammalia; Rodentia; Sciuridae.